GAUGAACGCUGGCGGCGUGCCUAAUACAUGCAAGUAGAACGCUGAAGGAGGAGCUUGCUCUUCUGGAUGAGUUGCGAACGGGUGAGUAACGCGUAGGUAACCUGCCUGGUAGCGGGGGAUAACUAUUGGAAACGAUAGCUAAUACCGCAUGACAACAGUUAUUGCAUGAUAACUGUUUAAAAGGGGCAACUGCUCCACUACCAGAUGGACCUGCGUUGUAUUAGCUAGUUGGUGAGGUAACGGCUCACCACGGCGACGAUACGUAGCCGACCUGGGAGGGGGAUCGGCCACACUGGGACUGGGACACGGCCCAGACUCCUACGGGAGGCAGCAGUAGGGAAUCUUCGGCAAUGGACGGAAGUCUGACCGAGCAACGCCGCGUGAGUGAAGAAGGUUUUCGGAUCGUAAAGCUCUGUUGUAAGAGAAGAACGAGUGUGAGAGUGGAAAGGUCACACUGUGACGGUAUCUUAUCAGAAAGGGACGGCUAACUACGUGC
RNAcentral lists this ribosomal RNA (496 nucleotides) under uncultured bacterium. RNAcentral describes it as "partial 16S ribosomal RNA". It matches the Rfam family "Bacterial small subunit ribosomal RNA", at positions 28 to 508 of the family's 1533-position model. The record is from RNAcentral.